RNAcentral lists this ribosomal RNA (382 nucleotides) under uncultured Desulfobulbus sp. Its description in RNAcentral is "bacterial SSU rRNA". It matches the Rfam family "Bacterial small subunit ribosomal RNA", at positions 996 to 1382 of the family's 1533-position model. Lineage: Bacteria; Pseudomonadati; Thermodesulfobacteriota; Desulfobulbia; Desulfobulbales; Desulfobulbaceae. The record is from RNAcentral.
AACUAGGGGUGGCUUCCAUCUGGAAGAAUCUGGAGACAGGUGCUGCAUGGCUGUCGUCAGCUCGUGUCGUGAGAUGUUGGGUUAAGUCCCGCAACGAGCGCAACCUUGCCUUUAGUUGCCAGCAGUUCGGCUGGGCACUCUAAAGGGACUGCCGGUGUUAAACCGGAGGAAGGUGGGGAUGACGUCAAGUCCUCAUGGCCUUUAUGACCAGGGCUACACACGUACUACAAUGGCCGAUACAAAGGGCAGCGACACUGCGAGGUGAAGCCAAUCCCGUAAAAUCGGUCUCAGUCCGGAUUGGAGUCUGCAACUCGACUCCAUGAAGUUGGAAUCGCUAGUAAUCGUGGAUCAGCAUGCCACGGUGAAUACGUUCCCGGGCCUU